This 128-nucleotide long non-coding RNA is filed under the name Zonotrichia albicollis (white-throated sparrow). RNAcentral describes it as "lncRNA (ENSZALG00000003227.1)". The record is from RNAcentral. Lineage: Eukaryota; Metazoa; Chordata; Aves; Passeriformes; Passerellidae.
GAGUCUGAGGUCUGACCUGAGCUCCUGGGGAGUGGCUCCCAAAUACAGUCAUUCCUUUAGGAAGAUGUGAAAAGCUCCAUGCUGCCUUAAUAUGAGUUUCUGGGUGAGUAAAACUGUGUUCAUUUAAA